Anarrhichthys ocellatus (wolf-eel) is the source of this 1447-nucleotide RNA transcript. It is a transcript of the gene named protein SMG7-like, with no coding region annotated. NCBI's taxonomy places the organism in Eukaryota, Metazoa, Chordata, Actinopteri, Perciformes, Anarhichadidae. The transcript is spliced from 4 exons. The record is from RefSeq and is a predicted model, not a curated record.
UUGUGGAGAGAUUUUAAAUGAGACAUGAAGAAUAAAAUGUUCUUGAUUAAAUAUCAACAUUUUAAUCGUUUUGGCUUAUUUUUCUGACGUAGACGUUUGUCGCAUAUGAUGUGUUCAAGGACUGUCGGAAAGAUGAAAACCUGACGAUAAUGACAGAUUUUACACUUUCUUUAAAGGUCAUUAGUGUCCCAUCGGCAGGUUUUUGGGUGUUCAGAGGGUUAACCUAUUAAUAAUCUGCAGCCAUGUUUUGUUUUAGUCAAAUAUCUUAAAAUGUUUCACGUUUUGAAAUGUUCUGAUCGAUUAAGAUCCAUCUGUGGUUUAAUGGAUCCAAACCACUCAGCCGCUUAAUGAACAGACUCCUUAUUGUGAACUGAAAUGGAUCGUCAGUGAUGUUUUACAUCACAAUACUCCACAUUUGUCUGAUGGCAGCUGAUUUGGUUCCUGCAGGUUUCCCCCCCUCAGCCUACGUGAUCCCUCCCCCGGUGGCGUUCCCGGGUCUCCAGGUGAACCCGGGCUUCGCCUUCUCCACCGGAGUGUCUGUCCCCGGUCCGUUCCUCCAGCCGGGCGUCCAUGCCCAAGCCGGCAGCCAGGCCGGGAAGCAGUCACACAUUCCCUACAGUCAGCAGAGGCCCUCCGGUCCGGGUCAGGGGCCCGGGACCUCGGUUCCCAUGAACCAGGGUCAGCAGAACCAGGCCAUGCAGCAGUCGGUCCAGCUGCAGGUGCAGGCGAUGAGCCAGCAGCAGCAGUCUCCCACCAAACCGGUCCAGCAGGUCGGGAUGGGGAAGAGUCCACCUCACCACCCGGGUCUGCAGCAGUACAUGCAGGUCCAGGAUCAGCCGGCUCAGAUGUGGAACCAGGGUCAGGCUGCUCUGCAGAAGAUGCAGAUGUCCAUGAAGCAGCCUCAGCAGCAGCAGACCUUCUACAUGGCGGCUCAGGAUCCUCUCAAACUGUAUGAGCACCAGCUGCAGCCGGCCAGCAUGGAGAAGAAGAUCAAGUACCCCAACGUCAAGAUGCAGGACUUCUACUGGGAGCCCACCUACAGGAUGGGGGACGGUCUGGCCGUGAUGGCGGACCGCAUGAAGAGGCCUCCGCCGGGCGGGAUCUGCUCCGAGCAAGACGGCUCCGGUGGUUCCCGGGGCCCCCCCCUUUGAGGACAACAAGCCUCUUCUACCUCCCGACCUGUUAAAAAGCCUAGCAGACUUUGAGGAGGAGGAGGAGCUCGUCUUUUCUAAGCCUCCUGAUUUCUUCCAGGCCUUGGCCGGCCCUCUUAGCUCUGCUCCUGGACCAAACAUAUUUCUGCCGAACCAGACCAGGAUGGAGAGCGGCCCCGAGAUCGUCUCGUCUCUUCUGCCCAUUUCUGGCUUCCCCAUGCAGGUCAGACCCGACAUCCAACGUUAGCUCAGCUUGUUCCUCUGAUAACUUAAGAUCCAGACGUCUGAUGCUAACG